AUGGAUCAGUUUCCCCUUCUUCCUAGUGGCUCCAAGGCCAACACCUCCACACCCUUGUACCUCACCUUAGACAACACAACCUCGGGGGCAUCCACCUCACCAGUGCCGGAGCCGGCGCCGGCGCCGCCUGAACCUUCUAGACAAUCCAACCAUGACAGGGGAACGGAUACAGUCAAAGCCAAGAUCAUGUCGCACCCUCUCUAUCCUGCUCUCCUGACAGCCUUCAUAGAGUGCCAGAAGGUCGGAGCCCCGCCGGAGAUUGUCGGCCGGUUGUCCGCCCUAGCCGGCGACCUCGAUUCAGAUCCUGGCGACCGGCGCCAAGACCCGGUGCCUGACCCAGAACUUGAUGAGUUCAUGGAGACCUACUGCGAUGUGCUGGUCAGGUACAAGCAGGAGCUCACGAGACCAGUCCAAGAAGCCGACCAGUUCUUCAGGGCCAUGGAGGCGCAGAUGGAGUCGUUUACGCUAGAUGACCACAGCUACGUCGAAGGGGGCGGUUCCUCCGAAGACGAGCAAGAAAUCGGCGACGUCGGCGGCCUGCCGGAGAUCACGAGCCACUGCGCGGAGGACAAGGAGCUCAAGAGCCACCUCCUGAACAAGUACAGCGGCUACCUGAGCAGCCUCUGGAGGGACCUCUCCAAGAAGAAGAAGAAAGGCAAGCUGCCGAGGGACGCGCGCCAGAAGCUCCUGCACUGGUGGCAGCUGCACUACAGAUGGCCCUACCCCUCGGAGCUGGAGAAGGCGGCGCUGGCGGAGUCGACGGGGCUGGACGCGAAGCAGAUCAACAACUGGUUCAUCAACCAGCGGAAGCGGCACUGGAAGCCCACGCCGCCGGCCAUGGAGUACAUGUCGCAGCAACAGCACCCCUACGGCGGCCCUUCGAGCAGCUCUUCCGCCCCCUUUCUGACGACGGACGGGCAUUACUUCGCCGGAGGAAGCGCGUAUCCUCGUGGGCCCUGA
RNAcentral lists this ribosomal RNA (960 nucleotides) under Triticum aestivum (bread wheat). Its description in RNAcentral is "partial small subunit ribosomal RNA". Lineage: Eukaryota; Viridiplantae; Streptophyta; Magnoliopsida; Poales; Poaceae. The record is from RNAcentral.